Molecule: ribosomal RNA, 429 nt
Filed under: bacterium
Lineage: Bacteria
Description: partial 16S ribosomal RNA
Rfam family: Bacterial small subunit ribosomal RNA
Source: RNAcentral
UAGGGAAUCUUCCACAAUGGACGCAAGUCUGAUGGAGCAACGCCGCGUGAGUGAAGAAGGUUUUCGGAUCGUAAAGCUCUGUUGUUGGUGAAGAAGGAUAGAGGUAGUAACUGGCCUUUAUUUGACGGUAAUCAACCAGAAAGUCACGGCUAACUACGUGCCAGCAGCCGCGGUAAUACGUAGGUGGCAAGCGUUGUCCGGAUUUAUUGGGCGUAAAGCGAGCGCAGGCGGAAGAAUAAGUCUGAUGUGAAAGCCCUCGGCUUAACCGAGGAACUGCAUCGGAAACUGUUUUUCUUGAGUGCAGAAGACGAGAGUGGAAUUCCAUGUGUAGCGGUGGAAUGCGUAGAUAUAUGGAAGAACACCAGUGGCGAAGGCGACUCUCUGGUCUGCAACUGACGCUGAGGCUCGAAAGCAUGGGUAGCGAACAGG